GUGUAUUUGGAAAUAUCCCUAAUACAGGAUCACUUGGAUCCGUCGGCGAUGACGAGCGCGAAAGAAUGCGAAAAGUCCUCACGGAAUGCUCUAAUUAUGAGAUAAUCUCAUGGAUACUCCCUGGACUUAAGCAUAUCAUUAAGGGAAGGAAAAGAAACUAACUAGGAUUCCGUUAGUAGUGGCGAAUGAACACGGAAGAGCUCCAAUGGUAAAGCCUAAGUGCUGUUGUAAUGUAGCCUCCGAAAACAUUCUGGAAAGGAUGACCACAGUGGGUGAUAGUCCCAGAGGAGGAUGUAAAGAAUAGAGUAGUGCUGCUUGGUAGUGCAGUAUGAAGAGGAGGUAGAAACUUCUAAAGCUAAAUACAGACGGAUACCGAUAGAGAAGAAGUAGUGCGAACGAAAGUUGAAAAGAUCUCAUCUAGAGAAUGAAAAGUGAAAGUAUUAGGGCGUAAGCUGAUGACAUCAGACCCGUAUUGAAACACGGACCAAGGAGACUUUGAGUAUAGCGAGGCGAAGGAUGUGAAGUCCCCACCCGCGAGAAAUCUACAAGUUAUACUGAUAGGACCCGAAAGGCAGUGAACUAUACCUGCUCUGCUUGACGCCACGGCAAACCGUGGUUGAGGAGCUAAGUCGUAUUGAUGUUCAACUCAUUGACAGGAAGUGGGUAUAGGGGAAAGACCAUCAACGU
This 687-nucleotide non-coding RNA is filed under the name Enterocytozoon bieneusi H348. RNAcentral describes it as "Archaeal large subunit ribosomal RNA". It matches the Rfam family "Archaeal large subunit ribosomal RNA", at positions 1 to 917 of the family's 2987-position model. Lineage: Eukaryota; Fungi; Microsporidia; Enterocytozoonidae. The record is from Rfam by way of RNAcentral.